This 80-nucleotide transfer RNA is filed under the name Micromonosporaceae bacterium. RNAcentral's name for it is "tRNA-Met". It matches the Rfam family "tRNA". Rfam says of the family: Transfer RNA (tRNA) molecules are approximately 80 nucleotides in length. Their secondary structure includes four short double-helical elements and three loops (D, anti-codon, and T loops). The record is from RNAcentral. Lineage: Bacteria; Bacillati; Actinomycetota; Actinomycetes; Micromonosporales; Micromonosporaceae.
CGCGGUGUAGGGAAGUCCGGUUGUUCCCGCUGGGCCCAUAACCCAGAGAUCGCUCAGUUCAAAUCUGGCCACCGCCACGA